RNAcentral lists this RNase P RNA (387 nucleotides) under Elusimicrobia bacterium RIFOXYA2_FULL_50_26. Its description in RNAcentral is "RNase P RNA component class A". It matches the Rfam family "Bacterial RNase P class A". From Rfam's summary of the family: Ribonuclease P (RNase P) is a ubiquitous endoribonuclease, found in archaea, bacteria and eukarya as well as chloroplasts and mitochondria. Its best characterised activity is the generation of mature 5'-ends of tRNAs by cleaving the 5'-leader elements of precursor-tRNAs. Cellular RNase Ps are ribonucleoproteins. Lineage: Bacteria; Pseudomonadati; Elusimicrobiota. The record is from RNAcentral. RNAcentral also lists the same sequence under 1 other name.
UAGAACAACCGAAAGAUCGCUCCCGUUUGACAAUCGCCAUGCGGGGGAGGAAAGUCCGGACUUCACCUUCAUGUUGUUUGUGAAGAAAACGGUAGUGGGCAAUUCCCAUCCGUCGUUGCUUUGUAACGACGAGAGGUGCGAACAGAAACGCCAUUUACCGAAAGGCAAAUGGCCUUCCGCAAGUGUAUUAUGCGGAAGGACGCUCCGGUGUAAUGCCGGGGCAUGAAACGGCUAAAUCCUUACUGGGAAGCAAGGCAAUAGCGCAUCAGUUUCUACCGGUGCGCGGUAAGCCGCUUGAUCCGGCGGAGUAAUCCGUCGGACAGAGAAAUGAUCUUGGCCUGCCGAUGAGGCGGGAAACAGAAUCCGGUGUACAGGUUGUUCUAUACA